RNAcentral lists this ribosomal RNA (978 nucleotides) under uncultured Chroococcales cyanobacterium. RNAcentral's name for it is "bacterial SSU rRNA". It matches the Rfam family "Bacterial small subunit ribosomal RNA", at positions 356 to 1350 of the family's 1533-position model. Lineage: Bacteria; Bacillati; Cyanobacteriota; Cyanophyceae; Chroococcales. The record is from RNAcentral.
GGGGAAUUUUCCGCAAUGGGCGAAAGCCUGACGGAGCAACGCCGCGUAAGGGAUGAAGGCCUCUGGGCUGUAAACCUCUUUUUUCAAGGAAGAAGAUCUGACGGUACUUGAAGAAUAAGCCACGGCUAAUUCCGUGCCAGCAGCCGCGGUAAUACGGGAGUGGCAAGCGUUAUCCGGAAUUAUUGGGCGUAAAGCGUCCGCAGGCGGCCUUGUAAGUCUGUUGUUAAAGCGUGGAGCUUAACUCCAUUUAAGCAGUGGAAACUGCAAGGCUUGAGUGUGGUAGGGGCAGAGGGAAUUCCCGGUGUAGCGGUGAAAUGCGUAGAUAUCGGGAAGAACACCAGUGGCGAAGGCGCUCUGCUGGGCCAUAACUGACGCUCAUGGACGAAAGCCAGGGGAGCGAAAGGGAUUAGAUACCCCUGUAGUCCUGGCCGUAAACGAUGAACACUAGGUGUCGGGGGAAUCGACCCCCUCGGUGUCGUAGCCAACGCGUUAAGUGUUCCGCCUGGGGAGUACGCACGCAAGUGUGAAACUCAAAGGAAUUGACGGGGGCCCGCACAAGCGGUGGAGUAUGUGGUUUAAUUCGAUGCAACGCGAAGAACCUUACCAGGGUUUGACAUCCUGCGAAUCCCUUGGAAACGAGGGAGUGCCUUCGGGAGCGCAGUGACAGGUGGUGCAUGGCUGUCGUCAGCUCGUGUCGUGAGAUGUUGGGUUAAGUCCCGCAACGAGCGCAACCCACGUCGUUAGUUGCCAGCAUUCAGUUGGGCACUCUAGCGAGACCGCCGGUGAUAAACCGGAGGAAGGUGUGGAUGACGUCAAGUCAUCAUGCCCCUUACAUCCUGGGCUACACACGUACUACAAUGCUACGGACAAAGGGCAGCAGACUCGCGAGAGCUAGCAAAUCCCAUAAACCGUGGCUCAGUUCAGAUCGUAGGCUGCAACUCGCCUACGUGAAGGAGGAAUCGCUAGUAAUUGCAGGUC